AUUGAACGCUGGCGGCAGGCCUAACACAUGCAAGUCGAGCGGAGCGGCGGACGGGUGAGUAAUGCCUAGGAAUCUGCCUGGUAGUGGGGGAUAACGUCCGGAAACGGGCGCUAAUACAGCAUACUAUCAGAUGAGCCUAGGUCGGAUUAGAUAGUUGGUGGGGUAAAGGCCUACCAAGGCGACGAGGCGUAACUGGUCUGAGAGGAUGAUCAGUCACACUGGAACUGAGACACGGCCCGUACUCCUACGGGAGGCAGCAGUGGGGAUUAUUGGACAAUGUGCUAAAGCCUGAUCCAGCCAUGCCGCGUGGGUGAAGAAGGUCUUCGGAUUGUAAAGCACUUUAAGUUGGGAGGCGUUACCAACAGAAUAAUCACCGGCUAACUUCGUGCCAGCAGCCGCGGUAAUUC
Molecule: ribosomal RNA, 407 nt
Filed under: uncultured bacterium
Lineage: Bacteria
Description: partial 16S ribosomal RNA
Rfam family: Bacterial small subunit ribosomal RNA
Source: RNAcentral